This is an RNA transcript of Etheostoma cragini (Arkansas darter), 5467 nucleotides long. It is a transcript of the gene named vesicle transport through interaction with t-SNAREs 1A, with no coding region annotated. The record is from RefSeq and is a predicted model, not a curated record. The transcript is spliced from 10 exons. Lineage: Eukaryota; Metazoa; Chordata; Actinopteri; Perciformes; Percidae.
AUAACGUUUGGAGCCGAGCACAUUAUACUGCGACUCAAGGAAGGGACUCCAUUCGAGACUUGUUGUUGUUAUCCUGAGCUAGCUGUCAACCAGAAAGCCACCUGUUUAAACCUAACGCUAAACGUCGAAAUGUCUUCAGACUUUGAAUCCUACGAGCAGGACUUUGGAACAAUUACAGCAGAAGUAACCAACAAAAUUGGCAGGAUUCCCAAACUUAGUGGAGAGGAGAAGACACAGCUGGUUCUAAAUGUCGACAAACAGCUUGAAGAAGUCAGAGAGUUGCUGGAGCAGAUGGACCUGGAGGUGCGGGAGAUCCCCAUCCAGAGCCGUGCCAUGUACAACGGCAGACUGAAGAGCUACAAACAAGAGAUAGACAAGCUUGAGAAAGACUUUAAAAGGUCACGUAUUGCCUACAGUGAUGAGGUGCGCAACGAGCUCCUGGGGGAUGACGCCGGCUCCUCGGAGAACCAGUUGAUAAAGUUACGCGAAGAGAGAGCGCAUCUGUUGGACAACACAGAGAAGCUGGAAAGGUCAUCACGGAGACUGGAGGCCGGCUACCAGAUAGCCGUAGAAACUGAACAAGUGGGUCAGGAGAUUCUUUCCAACCUGCACAGUGACCGUGAGAAGAUCCAAAGAGCCAGAGAACGGCUGAGAGAAACGGACGCCAACCUGGGCAAGAGUUCUCGCAUCCUUACCGGCAUGCUGAGAAGUCAGAAUAUUGCUUCCCUCCACUGCCACGCCACAUCCCCCUCCCUCUCUCCUAACGGUAAACGUUAAGAUCCAGGAGUGGAUCAAUGACUGUUAUCCUUUGAUGUGCUAGGACGCAUUACGAGCGGAUCAUCCAGAAUCGUGUCCUGGUCUUCAUCCUCGGAGCCAUCAUCCUUCUCACCAUCAUCCUGGCAAUCUAUUUCAAUGUGCGGGGCCACUGAUCUCCCCUCUACACACAUACACGCACACCCGCUCCUCCCCUGACACAAAUACAAACACACACAUACGUGUGAUUAAUAGCGACAAAAGCGUUGUUCUGCUGUAAUUAGGACAAAUGGUCCCCAUGAAUCACUGUUUCCAACGCCUGACAGGGAGCUUUUUUCCAUCUUUCUCCUCUCCUGUCUGCUGUCUCUUUCUCUCUUUUUGUCCCUCUUUUCUUUCCACUUUGCGCUUCCCUUUCUCUUUCUUUCUUUCUCUUUCUUCUUCUUCUUCUUUCUUUUCUCGUCUCAGUUUUGUUCUCUCAGGCUUUGUCAGGCUCUCUCAUACAUCUCCAGGGACAAAAGUAGAGGGAGAUGUUUUUAUGAUAGUUAAUAUUUUCAUGGUGUUGUCCUCAGUGUGGUUCUGGAGCCCUUCCUGUCCCAAAGGGAACAAGGGCUGUUGUUUUUUUUGUAAUUCAAAGCAGAUUCAGAUAUGUAGAUUAUGAUUUCCUUGUGAUGGAGGUGGGUCAAGUGUUAUUCAGGAUGAGUGUGCAUGCAUGAGAAACAGAGACAAAGACAGGUAUAAGAGUGCACACAUGUACUGUAUGUUCGCAUGUGCAUGAGUGACAGUCACGGAUUGGGGCCCCACACUGUUUGUUAUUAACACCAACAGUAGAGACACACGCUGUAGUAUGUAUGGGUUUCAGUAACUAAAUGAUUCAGAUGGUCUUCAUGUAGCCAUACAAAGCACAGAGGACAGUGCCUUCAGAUAAGAUAUGCUGUUCACACUCAUUUCUUUAAAAAUCUCAGCAGAGCCCAAAAUAGACAGAGUGGCACAGCCUGGAAAAGAGAGCACGCACAUGAAAAGGUUUAGGUCAGUUCAACUUCAGUUCAGCGUAUCAAGGUGAAAGGUUUGUUUGUUUUUGAUUACUGCAUUCAGGAAAGGACAUAUGAACAUUUCAACAAAGUUUUUGAGAUUGAGAAAAUAAAAUAAAAAAUCUACAGAUUUUAUGUUUUCAAUGCAAAAGGGAACUGACCCCAACCUUGGCACACACAAUACAUAAAUACAAUGCAGAGAACGGUUUAUUCACACAUUAUGACUAGCUUUAAAAUCCACAUUUGGUAUAAUCCCCCUGCACCUCCCAAACACAGAUUUUAACAACUCAUUCCUGCAAAGUUUUUAAUGUAUCUAUCAUUGUGGAAAAUUGUAGGCUAUAUGUACUAACAUUUAAAGCUACAUCAUGUAUAGUGUUUUUCUCUCAAUACAAGUAAUUCUGUUACUAUUUAUUUAUAAAUGCAACUAAUGUUUCUGUGUUAGAACUGUAAAUUUUAUGACGUUCAAAAGUAUGCAGAAUUAACAUUAACCACAUGUUUUCUUGAUUUUUGGGUGUUCAGUGAUUAGACUGUAAAAUGCAGACUGCACACCUGGACCAACUGAAAUGUGUGGAUUUGUGGAGGUUGUUUUUUUCUUCUUCUGUUCUUAUAAAUGGAUCUAGCUUGUUUUAGAACUGGCACUUUUGUUCUAUAUUUUUCUUGUCAAGUUCUAAAGAUUGUGAUGCAGUCCCUGUUUCUGUGUUUAUCUGUACGCUGACUUAUGAUGUGAUACAUUGAAGAAGAAAAAAACGUGUGUGUGAGUUUACUGCUGUUUAAUUCUUCAGGGGAAAGCCAUUCUUCAGGGGGUCUUGGAAAAUCUAAAUUUAAGAGCAUAUUUGGAGAAUUUUCUGAUGUUAAGAUACAUGAAGGUAAAGCUGUACACACACACACACACACACACACACACACAGUGGAGUAUUGGAGUGUGCAUGGGUCUCCUGUGGUCGGUGUGGUGGUUCCCAGCGAGGACAUUUACUAUUCUGUUUCAGAGCCACAGUCUUCAUUUUGGAAGAUGCGGGGGAGUCGGGGUGGUGAGCCCCCAAACACCUCCCGACAACCACCCUUUCACAGGCCCUCACUAGCUGCAGCGCCGCCGUCUGCUUCAAAGCCUCAAAUUAAUGGCCAACAAAAUAGUGUGCCUCUGACCAUCCCAUGCGGGGCCGACCCACCAAGACUUAUCAUUAAAGAGCAGGAAUAAUGAAAAAAGGACGGAAGCAAAGAGGAGUGAGAAGGAAGGAAGUGAACAAGGUAGCAUGGAGGUAGGGGGUGGGGGGUGGGGGGGGGGGGUGAAAUCCCUGGCAGUUUGACAAACCUCAUCUGGUAAUGACCCUCAGUGAUGUUUUUUCACCCAGUGCCCUGUGUGUGUGUGUGUGCGUCUGUCUGCAUGUGCAGCCUACCUACGUGCCAAUGUGCUCUCUUCUCCUCUCUGUUUCUGUCUUUCUCUCCCUCCCCAUCCCCUCCUGCUCCCCCCUUCUCUCUACCUCUCCUGCUACCUUUUCUCCUCUUCCCAGUCCCCCCCCCUCCCAGCCUGUCAGAUGAGCGGAGCAGUAGCUAGCGAGUGAGCGGUGGAAGGCAGCGUGGCGGCGGCUUCUAUUUGAAGUUGUAAUGGUGUCAAAAAGUCAGGGCUGACUGACAGACGUCAGUCCCACAGGGCCUCAUUAAAAACAGACCCACUUGACAAGGAAAUAAUUGAGCGCCGGCGACAACUCGGGGGCCCCUCCACGUUUUAAGAUGUUUUUAUUUUCUUUUCAUUAUUAGCGCUGAGCUAUUAUGUUCAUUAAGAAAUGGCAUUAAAACAAGUUUUUAAAAGCGGGGAAAUGGAGGGAGGGGCAGAGGGAAGGCAGGAUGCAUGGAGGUGGGAAGAUAACGAUUUGUUUAGAGCCCCCGUACUGUUUUAUUAUUUAAACAGGAACACUGUCAUGUGAUAUCUUGGAAGAUGUUGGCUAUCAUCUGCCACUCCAUUUUUUCUUCUCUUUUUCUCCUUUUUUCCUCUUCACUCAUCCCUCGCUUCCCCCCAGCUUUUAUCUUCCUUCGCUGUCCAUCUCUCUCCCUCUCUUCAUCCCUUUCUUUCUCUCCCUCUGAGCGGCGGGUGUCGUUGGAAUAUGAACUAGAUUAUUCAUCACUACCCCCCACGCCCUACUACCACCACCACCACCCCCCUCCCUCCCCCAUUCGCUGAUUUGGUUUCCGACAAGCGUCUCACCGCAGAAGGCUGAGGAUGAAAACUUGUCAAAAAUAGGUUAUAUCUUAUUCCAAGGGGCAACAAUAGGAGCAGGUACAGACACCUUUUAAUAUUUAAUUUAGGUGGGUGUUAACCCUCCUUAAGUGAUUGGAGCUCUGUCUUCCAUAGAGACACGGGGGAAGCGAGCAAGUGGGGAGAGCAAUUAAUUAUUUGAUGUCUGAAAAGUGAUUUUGAAGCUCUCCCUGCCUUCUGUUUGCCACAGAGAGGAGCUGGUCUUUGGGUGUCCCUGUUCAUUUUCUACACCAACCACGUCCUCAGCAUGGCUUUCCUGCGAGAGCUGAAACAUUACCGCUCAAAUCACAUUCAGAUCACCGCUCCACUGUGCCUCGCUUAAUACGCUAAUGAAAACACGAGUGAUCAUAUAGCCAUGGUUUUGGUCUCUUGUAUCAUCAGCGGAAAUUAUUUUCCAGAGGAAUUAUCUUCUAGACCUCCAUCUUGCGUCAGUGUGUCUCGCUAACAUCCCUUGUGCCCAGCUCAGCCAGUCAUUCCUGUUCUCCCGGGUCGUUUAUAGGUUGACAUGAAAGUUUUUUUUUAAGGGAGGUUCCUCAAGGAACGUCUGAAACGCAACACCAUUACAAAAAGCGUGAUGUUUGUCGUUCGUCAGCCAUUUAAGACGACAAGGGAUUGUGACAAGCGCCGUUUGAGCUGUCUGUCCCCUGGCGAAGGGUGGGCCUUAAACGGGAUAAACAGCUCCAGUGGUAGGAUCGCAAUGGGAGGGUGGGCGCUUCAUCUCCAGCAGUGUCCAUGAUGCUGCCGGCCCCCAACCAAACACACACACACACACACACUUACGCAUUAAAGGAGGCCCUGCAACAACCGCCACCCAAGAAAAACCCACAAUGGCACUGUUUGAGAACAACAAUGAAUCUUCUACUGUUUGAUUUAGCACCCAUACAAAGACGCACAUGCACUGCUGCAUGUGCCCCCCCCCCCCUCCCCAAGCACACAUGCUCUAGUGUACAACUGUUAAAAGAGGAGCCAUGUUCUCCGUUUGUACACGCCACCAGUCCUAGAAGAAUGGCUUUCUUUCUCUCCUCUGCCCUUUAUCUGUCUUUUCUUUGGCCCCCAUCAGCGCUGUCGACCAUUUUAAUGGUGUUUGUGCUCGUAAAAAAAUUACAAUGACCCCCCAUUAUCUGAGGAAGUCACAGGGGCUGCAGCCGUGCAUAGCCAACAUAGAUGUUUGUGUGCAUGUGGAUGUUUCCCCCUGUGGUUGAGAGGGAGCUGGAGGGCUUGGUGUAAAAGGCUAUGUUGGAUUGUCUUUAUGAAUGACUAUCUUUUAUCUGUUCGCGUCCAUCCGUAAUGCGGUAUGACUCAUUUCUCCUGUCGACCAGGAUCUUCAGUUCGUUUAGUUUCCUACAGACUGAGCGGUUCCCGAAACUAUGAAGAUGACUUGUGAUCUCUUGUCAGUGUUGUUUAACAUCUGUCAUUAUAGCAGUUCUGAAUCCCA